GACGAACGCUGGCGGCGUGCUUAACACAUGCAAGUCGAACGGAAAGGCCCUGCUUUUGUGGGGUGCUCGAGUGGCGAACGGGUGAGUAACACGUGAGUAACCUGCCCUUGACUUUGGGAUAACUUCAGGAAACUGGGGCUAAUACCGGAUUGGAGCUCCUGCUGCAUGGUGGGGGUUGGACAGUUUCGGCGGUUGGGGACGGUCUCGGGGCUUAUCAGCUUGUUGGUGGGGUAGUGGCUUACCAAGGGUUUGGCGGGUAGCCGGCCUGGGUGGGGGACCGGCCACAGUGGGACUGAGGGAGGGCGCAGACGCGUACUGUAGGCAGCAGUGGGGACUAUGGUACAAUGGUCGGAAGCCUGAGACAGCAACCCCGGGUUUGGGAUGACGUCCUGCGGGUUGUAAACCGGUGGCGCCUGUGAUGAAGCGUGAGUGACGGUAACGGGUAAAGAAGCACCGGCUAACUACGUG
RNAcentral lists this ribosomal RNA (468 nucleotides) under uncultured bacterium. RNAcentral describes it as "partial 16S ribosomal RNA". It matches the Rfam family "Bacterial small subunit ribosomal RNA", at positions 28 to 507 of the family's 1533-position model. The record is from RNAcentral.